UAGACAGUAGACAGUAGGGAAUCAUGCC
This 28-nucleotide non-coding RNA is filed under the name Mus musculus (house mouse). Lineage: Eukaryota; Metazoa; Chordata; Mammalia; Rodentia; Muridae. The record is from RNAcentral.